Molecule: long non-coding RNA, 2268 nt
Filed under: Olea europaea subsp. europaea
Lineage: Eukaryota; Viridiplantae; Streptophyta; Magnoliopsida; Lamiales; Oleaceae
Source: RNAcentral
CUUUAAUUACGAAAUCUUUGAAUUUAUAAGAAUGUCUUUGAAUUUACAAAGAUGGUGGAGAAAUUUUUUAGUACAAGUGAUAGUAUGCUUUUUCAGUGUGUUUUCUUUCGUGAGAGGUGUGUGUAUUUAUAGACGCUGGUACAUCACGUCUAUUAUGUUAGUACUGUAAGUGUGGCAUCAAUAAUUGAAUAAUACUGUGCAAACUUUACAUGUGUGCGAUCAAAAAUCAAAGAAAAAUAAAUAAUGUGCAAUUCUCCAUGUGAGUAAUUAAUGAAUGAAUUAUUUGAAAAAAUACUUCUGAUAACUUUUGUCUUCACGCCUGACUUUUCUUGAAAUAUGAGAAUCAACUUUGUAGAGAAUCUUUGAAAUAUUUUUAAAGUUUUAUCUUUACGCCUCUUCUUUUUGGCUUCCUUGUUUUGCUAAUUAUUUCUCCAAUUUUCUAUCUCGUCUUCAUUUGUCCAUCAUUUUUGCUAUGGCUUCUUCUAGUUUUGGAUCCAUCUCAUUAUCGUUGCCAUCCGAUAUAUAGGUUUCCUCUUCUGUUUUUGAUAGGGUUUUUGUAAAUUCUCCAUUAGUCUCUUGAAACGCCAUCAGAUAUAAAUUCUUUUAUUCAAUAUUUGGUAUUAGAAUUUUUUUGGUUUAGUUCUCAUGGCAAGGUGCUCUUGACAGAAAAUAAUUUCGUUAUUCCAUUGUGCUAUUAAUCUGAAAUCAUUAUUUUGAACUUCCAUCAUGAUUGCGAUUUCUGAUAUUCUUCUUUCAUAAUUAAUCUGUCUAAUUUUUAUUUUAAUAUUCGUUCUUGAAGAGGGUCUAGAUCUUUUGGUUCCUUCACAAAUUAAAAUACGAUGAUAAAUGAAUUGAACCGUUAAGGGAUGGUCUUUUAACUGAUCAAGAAUCUAUUUUAGUUUUGAUGGAAAAAAUAGGAAAAAUCUGUUUAAUAUGUAUGUAGUAUCUAUCAUACCAAACUGUAAAGCUGGGUAAAAGAGGUUUUCUUCUUCAAAGAUUGUAUAAUCAAAGGAAAUUGUUGGAUAAUUGUGAUUAAGAGAGGCUGAAUUUUGGGCUGCAUCGUAUUUGGGACCAUGUCUAAGGAAGUAUCUAUUUUCAUUGUAAUAGUAACUGAAAAUUUGAGCAAAAUCUAGAAUUUCCUGUGCAAUGGAAUUUUUUAUAGAACUUCGAAUAAUACUGGCGCAAUCACCAAUUUUCUGUUCUAAUUUGAUAAAAUCUUUUCCUGUCCUGCAACUGUAGAAUCUGUUAGUUCAAUAAGUCAUUCUAUUUUAUCAAAAUAAUUUCUACUUGUAGAGGCGAUGUCUUUAGAUUCAAAAUAAUUUCUAUUAUAUAUAUAGAUUCAAAUGUAAAAAUUAUAUACGUAUGAAAGUAUAAUUCAAUACAACCCAAAAUAAUUAAAAAAAUAUACGAUACAACCUUAGUCUAUAACUGUAAACUUAGAUAAUUGUAUUCCACGAGAUCUCAUAUUUUGAAAAUGGUGCAAAAAUGCUUCAAUUAGAAUUGAUUAAAAAAAAAAAGUACCAAGUAAACACAAGUUGAAUUGAGCCUAACAUCUUCUUAAUUAAAAUUUUUCACUUAUCCUAAUUUUCUAAACAUAAAUUUUCAAAUCAAUAAUCAUAAUUCAUAAAGCAUGUAUUACUUAUUAUAAAUCACAAUCACAAUUCUCUGCAAUAUGUAAUAAAUCACAAGUCACAAAACAUAAAUCAUAGUUCAUAACUCAUUAUUUAUCAAAACAUAAAUCAUAGUUCAUAACUCAUUAUUUAUAAGACUAAUAACAAUUAACACAAUUUACAGACAACAGGUCACAACAUUCAUUAUUCAACAAAUCAAGUACAAAUAGUCAACAAAACAAAAAAAGAAAAAGAAACAGCAACAAAAUAUAAAAAAACAAAAGCAAAAAGAAAGAGAGAAAUAGAGUAAGAGAAGAAAUGCGCUCACAUCACAGUCACGGCACUCACCAGGCAUUGCGAAGGCCGGAGGCUGCUAGUCGUAAGUUGAGCUCAAAUAUUCUGAUUUCUGAGACCACUGGUCCACUGACCACCAGAACAGGAACCUCAGAAGGGAGGAAUGACAGUCGACAGACACGUCAUUGGCGACGUGGUCUCAGCUUCAGAAUGAAAAUGCUGAAUGAGAAUGGAAUUAGGAAAGGAAAAAAAGGGUUUGCAGCAGGCUUUCGGCUUCUAGGAAUGAGAAAUUGGGGAUUGAUUUCACGAUUUGGUAAUUUGGAGUUUGGACCAUCGUUGAUUUGGGGGAAAAGAGAAUUGGUUG